Nothobranchius furzeri (turquoise killifish) is the source of this 200-nucleotide small nucleolar RNA. Ensembl annotates it as small nucleolar RNA, H/ACA box 53. Its record names the gene SNORA53. The record is from Ensembl. Lineage: Eukaryota; Metazoa; Chordata; Actinopteri; Cyprinodontiformes; Nothobranchiidae.
AACACGCUCCUUAGAUCCACCUCUGGAGGGCGCUGCUCCACGAGCAGAGUUCCUCAGCAGCUUCUUGGCUGUACAGUUGGAGGUGCUUGAGUCAUUGGCGUGUGACAGCAGUCUACCUGCCCCUGCGCCCAUCUGCGGCACUGGCAACCUGAUCUGCAGACCAGGAGCUCCCAGUGCUGAGAGUCGGAGGGGCGGACACA